UCCCUGGUGGCUUAGCUGGUAAAGAAUCUGCCUGCAAUGCGGGAGACCUGGGUUCGAUCCCUGGGUUGGGAA
Molecule: transfer RNA, 72 nt
Filed under: Odocoileus virginianus texanus
Lineage: Eukaryota; Metazoa; Chordata; Mammalia; Artiodactyla; Cervidae
Also listed under: 7 other names
Rfam family: tRNA
About the family: Transfer RNA (tRNA) molecules are approximately 80 nucleotides in length. Their secondary structure includes four short double-helical elements and three loops (D, anti-codon, and T loops).
Source: Rfam by way of RNAcentral